Molecule: ribosomal RNA, 603 nt
Filed under: uncultured bacterium
Lineage: Bacteria
Description: bacterial SSU rRNA
Rfam family: Bacterial small subunit ribosomal RNA
Source: RNAcentral
GUUACCUGCGGCGGCCUAAACAUGCAGUCGUAGCAGGGUAACGACGCAAUACGCUGACGACCGGCAAACGGGUGCGGAACACGUACACAACCUUCCUUUUAGUGGGGAAUAGCCCAGAGAAAUUUGGAUUAAUACCCCGUAACAUAACGAUGUGGCAUCACAUUGUUAUUAUAGGUUUACCGCUAAGAGAUGGGUGUGCGGCUGAUUAGGUAGUUGGCGGAGUAACAGCCCACCAAGCCAACGAUCAGUAGCUGAUGUGAGAGCAUGAUCAGCCACACGGGCACUGAGACACGGGCCCGACUCCUACGGGAGGCAGCAGUAAGGAAUAUUGGACAAUGGACGCAAGUCUGAUCCUGCCAUGCCGCGUGAAGGAUUAAGGCCCUCUGGGUUGUAAACUUCUUUUAUAGGGGACGAAAAAAGGGCUUUCUAGCUCGACUGACGGUACCCUAUGAAUAAGCACCGGCUAACUCCGUGCCAGCAGCCGCGGUAAUACGGAGGGUGCAAGCGUUAUCCGGAUUCACUGGGUUUAAAGGGUGCGUAGGCGGGCAGUUAAGUCAGUGGUGAAAUCUUCGAGCUCAACUCGGAAACUGCCAUUGAUACUAU